RNAcentral lists this ribosomal RNA (253 nucleotides) under uncultured bacterium. RNAcentral's name for it is "partial 16S ribosomal RNA". It matches the Rfam family "Bacterial small subunit ribosomal RNA", at positions 524 to 776 of the family's 1533-position model. The record is from RNAcentral.
GACGAAGGGGGCUAGCGUUGUUCGGAAUUACUGGGCGUAAAGCGCGUGUAGGCGGUUGCCCAAGUCGGGUGUGAAAGCCUUGAGCUCAACUCAAGAAAUGCACUCGGUACUGGGUGACUAGAGGACCGGAGAGGAUAGUGGAAUUCCCAGUGUAGUGGUGAAAUACGUAGAGAUUGGGAAGAACACCAGUGGCGAAGACGGCUAUCUGGACGGUUUCUGACGCUAAGACGCGAAAGCGUGGGGAGCAAACAGG